AUGCUGCUGUCCAGGGUUGCGGCAUUUGGAGCGGUUGGACGGCGGCCGGAGCGAAGUACGCCGGAGCGAUGUCGUGCAAGUCCGGCUGCGACGUUGCCACCGUGCAGGGCGACGAUCCUGCCGCGUCCCCCGCACCUGUCGCCGCAGCUGGUGGUGAUCCCGGCCAGGAAGAGGGCCCUGCAGCCACGGGGUCGGGCGCAGGGCUGA
Molecule: ribosomal RNA, 207 nt
Filed under: Triticum aestivum (bread wheat)
Lineage: Eukaryota; Viridiplantae; Streptophyta; Magnoliopsida; Poales; Poaceae
Description: partial small subunit ribosomal RNA
Source: RNAcentral